AUGGCGACGGACGCCUCCCCCCCUCCGCCGCGCAAGAGCCCGGGGCCUCAGCCGGCGGCGGGCCCCCCUGAAGGCGCCUCGCCGCUGCCGGCGGGGUACAUCUUCAUGUGCAGCGGCGAGACCAGGCCCGAGUGCUUCAGGUACAGGGUGCUGGGCCUGCCGCGGGGGAGGCUGGACGCCGUCUCCCGGAUCAGGCGCGGCGCCGCGCUCUUCCUCUACGACUUCCACGCCAAGCACCUCUACGGGCCCUACCGCGCCGACUCCGACGGCGGCCUCGCCCUCGAGCCCGCCGCCUUCCAGGGCCGCUACCCGGCCCAGGUCAAAUUUGUGGUUGAUGGUGAUUUCAUGCCUAUCCCAGAGAGUAGCAUAAGAAGUGCCAUAAGUGAGAAUUAUUCCCGUGGGAAAUUUUGGCCUGAACUUACCUUUACGCAAGUUGAGAAAUUGAGAGCAUUGUUCCGUCCAGUUACUUCACUGCCAGUGCCAGAGGCACCACCCCUGCAUUAUGUUGACAACAGGCAUCCUGCUCAAUCUGCUGCUUUUCUGCCUCCUUCAGCUUCAUACCCAAUACAGCCAACUUCUUAUGUGUAUCACCCAAGCACUUAUGCUCCUACUCCAGCUGCUCAUCUGGUGCCAAAUCGACCAUACCCACGCCCAGAUUCUCACCUUCCUGUGACUGCUCAAUACACCACACCUGCUUACUAUGCGACCCCAACCGCGUAUCCGUAUCAAGCAGGUUAUCAAGCAUAUGGUCCACCUCCUGCCACCUACCACUACGCCCAAGCGCCUCCUUUGCAAUAUCACUAUGUGCAAGCCCAACACCCUGUGCCAGAACAUGUUACAGACCCUGCCUAUUCCUCUGAUCCCUACUAUGUUGCUAAUCGGAAUGAUCCAUAUCGAUUUGAUGCUGUGAAAUCUCAUUACCAGGAAACAACUUCUGGAAGAGCUGCCUAUGGUGCACCACCACAUGAAGCAGCCGCGACGAACCUGCAGCUCGUCAGGCAUUAUGGGUACGCUCCAGGCAGCGAGGGCGCAGCCGGAGGAACCCCACAGCCCAGUGCUGAAGGAGCAGCGUCGGCGACCAAUGAUGACAACUGGCCGCCCGCCCCAGCGACCACACAGGCUGCGCCUUUGGUGAAUUGCGUCGCAGCUGCACCGGCUUACCUGUGA
This 1167-nucleotide ribosomal RNA is filed under the name Triticum aestivum (bread wheat). Its description in RNAcentral is "partial small subunit ribosomal RNA". The record is from RNAcentral. Lineage: Eukaryota; Viridiplantae; Streptophyta; Magnoliopsida; Poales; Poaceae.